GGGGAUUUAGCUCAGUGGUAGAGCGCUUGCCUAGCAAGCGCAAGGCCCUCAAUUCAGUCCCCA
RNAcentral lists this transfer RNA (63 nucleotides) under Rattus norvegicus (Norway rat). It matches the Rfam family "tRNA". From Rfam's summary of the family: Transfer RNA (tRNA) molecules are approximately 80 nucleotides in length. Their secondary structure includes four short double-helical elements and three loops (D, anti-codon, and T loops). The record is from Rfam by way of RNAcentral. Lineage: Eukaryota; Metazoa; Chordata; Mammalia; Rodentia; Muridae.